Molecule: ribosomal RNA, 484 nt
Filed under: uncultured bacterium
Lineage: Bacteria
Description: partial 16S ribosomal RNA
Rfam family: Bacterial small subunit ribosomal RNA
Source: RNAcentral
AUUGAACGCUGGCGGCAUGCUUUACACAUGCAAGUCGAACGGCAGCGCGGGCUUCGGCCUGGCGGCGAGUGGCGAACGGGUGAGUAAUGCAUCGGAACGUGCCCAGUAGUGGGGGAUAGCCCGGCGAAAGCCGGAUUAAUACCGCAUACGACCUGAGGGUGAAAGCGGGGGACCGAAAGGCCUCGCGCUAUUGGAGCGGCCGAUGUCGGAUUAGCUAGUUGGUGGGGUAAAGGCUUACCAAGGCGACGAUCCGUAGCUGGUCUGAGAGGACGACCAGCCACACUGGGACUGAGCCACGGCCCAGACUCCUACGGGAGGCAGCAGUGGGGAAUUUUGGACAAUGGGGGCAACCCUGAUCCAGCCAUGCCGCGUGCGGGAAGAAGGUCUUCGGGUUGUAAACCGCUUUUGUUCGGGAAGAAAUCCUCUGGGCUAACACCCCGGGGGGAUGACGGUACCGGAAGAAUAAGCACCGGCUAACUACGUG